GUGAAUCAUCAAAUCUUUGAACGCAAAUUGCACUCUCUGGUAUUCCGGAAAGUAUGCCUGUUUGAGGGUCAGUUAAAUAAAAAUCGUUGUUGUUGCUGCCUUUCGUGGUGACGCGUCGGCUUUUAGUCUUCUUACCUUCGGUUAAGCUUCUUAAAAUUUUUGCAUGUUUUUCGUACGUAUUUAAAUCGUUUACGUCCGUUUGUGAUAUUGAAUGCUUAUUAGGUUCGGUCAUCCUCAUACCCGGCACCUAUAAUUUUUCACUAAAUGACC
Molecule: unclassified non-coding RNA, 270 nt
Filed under: Glomus sp.
Lineage: Eukaryota; Fungi; Glomeromycota; Glomeromycetes; Glomerales; Glomeraceae
Description: partial contains 5.8S ribosomal RNA and internal transcribed spacer 2
Rfam family: 5.8S ribosomal RNA (bases 1-71)
Source: RNAcentral